UGCAAGUCGAGCGAUGAAGCUUCCUUCGGGAAGUGGAUUAGCGGCGGACGGGUGAGUAACACGUGGGUAACCUGCCUCAAAGUGGGGGAUAGCCUUCCGAAAGGAAGAUUAAUACCGCAUAACAUAAGAGAAUCGCAUGAUUUUCUUAUCAAAGAUUUAUUGCUUUGAGAUGGACCCGCGGCGCAUUAGCUAGUUGGUAAGGUAACGGCUUACCAAGGCAACGAUGCGUAGCCGACCUGAGAGGGUGAUCGGCCACAUUGGAACUGAGACACGGUCCAGACUCCUACGGGAGGCAGCAGUGGGGAAUAUUGCGCAAUGGGGGAAACCCUGACGCAGCAACGCCGCGUGGGUGAUGAAGGUCUUCGGAUUGUAAAGCCCUGUUUUCUGGGACGAUAAUGACGGUACCAGAGGAGGAAGCCACGGCUAACUACGUGCCAGCAGCCGCGGUAAUACGUAGGUGGCGAGCGUUGUCCGGAUUUACUGGGCGUAAAGGGUGCGUAGGCGGAUGUUUAAGUGGGAUGUGAAAUCCCCGGGCUUAACCUGGGGGCUGCAUUCCAAACUGGAUAUCUAGAGUGCAGGAGAGGAAAGCGGAAUUCCUA
This 599-nucleotide ribosomal RNA is filed under the name Clostridium sp. T60B3. Its description in RNAcentral is "bacterial SSU rRNA". It matches the Rfam family "Bacterial small subunit ribosomal RNA", at positions 56 to 672 of the family's 1533-position model. Lineage: Bacteria; Bacillati; Bacillota; Clostridia; Eubacteriales; Clostridiaceae. The record is from RNAcentral.